UAUGAGUAACGACAAUGGGAGUGAAAAACUCCCACGCCGAAAGACCAAGGUUUCCUGCGCAACGUUAAUCGACGCAGGGUUAGUCGGUUCCUAAGGCGAGGCAGAAAUGCGUAGUCGGUGGCAAACAGGUUAAUAUUCCUGUACUUCUAGUUACUGCGAUGGAGGGACGGAGAAGGCUAGGCCAGCUUGGCGUUGGUCGUCCAAGUUUAAGGUGGUAGGCUGGAAUCUUAGGUAAAUCCGGGAUUCUAAGGCCGAGAGCUGAUGACGAGUUAUCUUUUAGAUGACGAAGUGGUUGAUGCCAUGCUUCCAGGAAAAGCUUCUAAGCUUCAGGUAACUAGGAACCGUACCCCAAACCGACACAGGUGGUUGGGUAGAGAAUACCAAGGCGCUUGAGAGAACUCGGGUGAAGGAACUAGGCAAAAUGGCACCGUAACUUCGGGAGAAGGUGCGCCGGUGAGGGUGAAGUAUUUACUACGUAAGCCCAUGCCGGUCGAAGAUACCAGGCCGCUGCGACUGUUUAUUAAAAACACAGCACUCUGCAAACACGAAAGUGGACGUAUAGGGUGUGACGCCUCCCCGGUGCCGGAAGGUUAAUUGAUGGGGUUAGCUAACGCGAAGCUCUUGAUCGAAGCCCCGGUAAACGGCGGCCGUAACAAUAACGGUCCUAAGGUAGCGAAAUUCCUUGUCGGGUAAGUUCCGACCUGCACGAAUGGCGUAACGAUGGCGGCGCUGUCUCCACCCGAGACUCAGUGAAAUUGAAGUCGCCGUGAAGAUGCAGUGUAUCCGCGGCUAGACGGAAAGACCCCGUGAACCUUUACUAUAGCUUUGCACUGGACUUUGAAUUUGCUUGUGUAGGAUAGGUGGGAGGCUUUGAAGCGUGGACGCCAGUCUGCGUGGAGCCAAUCUUGAAAUACCACCCUGGCAACUUUGAGGUUCUAACUCUGGUCCGUUAUCCGGAUCGAGGACAGUGUAUGGUGGGUAGUUUGACUGGGGCGGUCUCCUCCUAAAGAGUAACGGAGGAGUACGAAGGUGCGCUCAGACCGGUCGGAAAUCGGUCGUAGAGUAUAAAGGCAAAAGCGCGCUUGACUUCGAGACAGACACGUCGAGCAGGUACGAAAGUAGGUCUUAGUGAUCCGGUGGUUCUGUAUGGAAGGGCCAUCGCUCAACGGAUAAAAGGUACUCCGGGGAUAACAGGCUGAUACCGCCCAAGAGUUCAUAUCGACGGCGGUGUUUGGCACCUCGAUGUCGGCUCAUCACAUCCUGGGGCUGAAGCCGGUCCCAAGGGUAUGGCUGUUCGCCAUUUAAAGUGGUACGCGAGCUGGGUUUAGAACGUCGUGAGACAGUUCGGUCCCUAUCUGCCGUGGACGUUUGAGAUUUGAGAGGGGCUGCUCCUAGUACGAGAGGACCGGAGUGGACGAACCUCUGGUGUUCCGGUUGUCACGCCAGUGGCAUUGCCGGGUAGCUAUGUUCGGGAAAGAUAACCGCUGAAAGCAUCUAAGCGGGAAACUUGCCUCAAGAUGAGAUCUCACUGGAACCUUGAGUUCCCUAAAGGGCCGUCGAAGACUACGACGUUGAUAGGUUGGGUGUGUAAGCGCUGUGAGGCGUUGAGCUAACCAAUACUA
RNAcentral lists this ribosomal RNA (1622 nucleotides) under metagenome. RNAcentral describes it as "bacterial LSU rRNA". It matches the Rfam family "Bacterial large subunit ribosomal RNA", at positions 1301 to 2903 of the family's 2925-position model. The record is from RNAcentral.